GGGCCCGCACAAGCGGUGGAGCAUGUGGCUUAAUUCGAGGCAACGCGAAGAACCUUACCUGGUCUUGACAUGCCCGUCAUAGUUUUCCGAAAGGAAUUCGUCGGUUCGGCCGGACGGUGCACAGGUGCUGCAUGGCUGUCGUCAGCUCGUGUCGUGAGAUGUUCGGUUAAGUCCGGCAACGAGCGCAACCCUCGUUCCUAGUUGCCAGCGGGUAAUGCCGGGGACUCUAGGAAGACAAACCUCGUGUAGAGGUGGGAAGGUGGGGACGACGUCAAGUCAGUAUGGCCCUUACGACCAGGGCUGCACACGUGCUACAAUGCUCGGUACAAUGGGAUGCAACGCCGCGAGGUUGAGCCAAUCCAUAAAACCGAGCCCAGUUCGGAUAGGAGUCUGCAACUCGACUCCUUG
RNAcentral lists this ribosomal RNA (408 nucleotides) under uncultured bacterium. Its description in RNAcentral is "bacterial SSU rRNA". It matches the Rfam family "Bacterial small subunit ribosomal RNA", at positions 917 to 1322 of the family's 1533-position model. The record is from RNAcentral.